RNAcentral lists this long non-coding RNA (796 nucleotides) under Marmota monax (woodchuck). The record is from RNAcentral. Lineage: Eukaryota; Metazoa; Chordata; Mammalia; Rodentia; Sciuridae.
CAUUCAGCUAUUAAGUGUAAGAAAUAGGAUUUAAAAGUCUAUCUGGUUCUUAUGUUUAUUUUUGUUGUGGUGGUGGCAGUGAUGCUGGGUUUUAAAGCCAGGGCCUCUCACUUGCAAGGUAAACUCUAACACUGAGCUGCAUCACCAGUGUCUUAAAUCCAUAUUUUCUCUCUCUCUCUCUCUCUCUCUCUUUUUCUUUCUUUGUGUGUGUUUCUGUGCAUAUGUGUUUGUUUCUAGGGAUUGAACCCAGGGCCUUGUGCAUGCUAGGCAAGUACACUACCACUGAGCUAUAUCACUGGCCCCUCAAGUUCAUUUUGUUGACCUGUACUAUAUGGCUAUCUACUAGGGCAAAUGAGAUACUAGGUAAAAGAAGCUUUUAGUUGUUGAAAAAGAUAUAAUUUGCUAUUUUUAAUACUAUUUCUGUUUUUCAUUUUUCCCCUUUCCCAAACAGUUUAGUCGAAAAGCAUCUGCAUUAGAUAUCUGUCCUUUUGACCAAGUGAGAGAGUUUUGUUAACUUACCAGGAUGAAGAAUAUUCACAUGCAUCCUGCUGGCCUAAUGUGGGGCUUUGGAGUUUGGGUGUAGUAAAGAGGUAUCUGUUUAGAAGAGGGCUCAUGAUGAGAUAGAUGAAUUGGAGUGGCGUAAGGAGGAGAUCCAUGUGGAAGAUGGUGGCAGCUUCUCAUAGUUACUUGACAGAGCCUCAGUGGGGUGGUGAACAUUCUACAGUGAAGGGGUCAUGUCAACAAUAGGAAGUUGGUUAUAUAUGGGAGGUGGAGAGGAGGUGAGUGUUGAUCAGAU